This 345-nucleotide ribosomal RNA is filed under the name uncultured bacterium. Its description in RNAcentral is "partial 16S ribosomal RNA". It matches the Rfam family "Bacterial small subunit ribosomal RNA", at positions 338 to 700 of the family's 1533-position model. The record is from RNAcentral.
CCUACGGGGAGCAGCAGUGGGGGAUAUUGCACAAUGGGGGGAACCCUGAUGCAGCGACGCCGCGUGGGUGAAGAAGCGCCUCGGCGCGGAAAGCCCGGUCAGCAGGGAAGAAAAUGACGGUACCUGAAGAAGAAGCCCCGGCUAACGACGUGCCAGCAGCCUCGGGAAGACGUCGGGGGCAAGCGUUAUCCGGAUUUACGGGGGGGAAAGGGGGCGCAGCCGGCGCGGCCAGCCAGGAGGGAAAGCCCGGGGCCCACCCCCGGGACUGCUCUUGGAACUGCGUGGCUGGAGGGCAGUCGGGGCAGGCGGCCUUCCUGGUGUCGCGGUGCACUGCGUAGCUAUCAG